UACAGAGGUCUCAAGCGUUGUUCGGAUUCAUUGGGCGUAAAGGGUGCGCAGGUGGCGAGGCAAGUCGGAUGUGAAAUCCCGGGGGCUCAACCCCCGGAACUGCAUUGGAUACUGCCUUGCUUGAGUACUGGAGAGGAGACUGGAAUUUACGGUGUAGCAGUGAAAUGCGUAGAUAUCGUAAGGAAGGCCAGUGGCGAAGGCGAGUCUCGUGGACAGUUACUGACGCUGAGCACGAAGGCCAGGGGAGCAAACGGG
RNAcentral lists this ribosomal RNA (255 nucleotides) under uncultured bacterium. RNAcentral describes it as "partial 16S ribosomal RNA". It matches the Rfam family "Bacterial small subunit ribosomal RNA", at positions 524 to 776 of the family's 1533-position model. The record is from RNAcentral.